CCACGCUGGAAACCCUUUCCGUACCCCUCAGCCGGUACCCUCGCGGUGGCCGGCUGGGCGCCUGGGCCCCCAGGCGGGUCGGCCCCUCUGCUUGUGGCAGGGGGCGUCGACGCGGCGAGUUUCAACUCUUUUUUUACCCACUCCCAACUCCGCCUUUGUGCCUGAAGCCAUGGCUGCCCAGGCUCGUCCUGGCAGCAACACCAAAGACAACUUUCGACAACGGAUACCUUGGCUCCCGUAACGAUGAAGAACGCAGCGAAAUGCGAUACGUAGUGUGAAUUGCAGAAUUCCGUGAACCAUCGAAUCUUUGAACGCAUAUUGCGCUCGAGGCCUCGGCCAAGAGCAUGUCUGCCUCAGCGUCGGCUAUUCCCUCGCUGCCCUUGCGCCUGCACGGGCGACGGAUGUGGCCGUCUCGGUGGUCGUUGUGCACCCCCGGGUCGGCUGAGCGCANAGCGUCUNCAGCGCCGCCCCUCGCGUUGACAAACUGGGUAGCUUGCUACUGCUUGUCGACCGCCGUGGCGCUGCGAGGCGCCCAAGACUGGUGCCUACCGCACAGCUUCCUUUUGACCUGAGUUAGGCAAGACACCCGCUGAACUUAAGCAUAUCA
Molecule: ribosomal RNA, 607 nt
Filed under: uncultured Chlorophyta
Lineage: Eukaryota; Viridiplantae; Chlorophyta
Description: eukaryotic LSU rRNA
Rfam family: 5.8S ribosomal RNA (bases 209-362)
Source: RNAcentral